CUGGACUGAUGUGUUCGAAAUUUGGAAAAAAGUCAGUAGAUAAAAGUUGUAGUCCCGAAAGUCAGCUUUGCAUGGGCUCAAGAAAUCGGUUAAAAAUAUUUUGAAAUGAGAGAGUUAUGACAUUUCAAAUCAGUCCAGUAAAUUCGGAGCAGUCCCCUUGUAUUAAAUUUCUGGACUGAUGUGUUCGGAAUCUGGAAAAAGGUAUACAGAUAAAAGUCGUGUGGGCUCAAGAAUUGCUCAAAAAUAUUUUGAAACGAAAAAGUUCUGACUGUUUUAACCAGAGAAGGUAAAGUUGGAAAAAUUUAAAAACUGUUACAAGUGGACAUUUUUGGGGCUUGUUUUAGGGUGCCUAUGAGGUCCAAAAUUGGAGGGUUAUAUUUUUUAAAAAUAGCAUACUAUGGUACCUAUAACAUAUCCUAAAAUGGAAUCAAUUCGAUUAACGAGCAGCGCGUACGAAAAUCGCGAAGUAGAUAGU
This 475-nucleotide long non-coding RNA is filed under the name Panax ginseng (ginseng). Its description in RNAcentral is "long non-coding RNA (PGIN_LNC005995)". The record is from RNAcentral. Lineage: Eukaryota; Viridiplantae; Streptophyta; Magnoliopsida; Apiales; Araliaceae.